RNAcentral lists this ribosomal RNA (484 nucleotides) under uncultured bacterium. RNAcentral's name for it is "partial 16S ribosomal RNA". It matches the Rfam family "Bacterial small subunit ribosomal RNA", at positions 29 to 523 of the family's 1533-position model. The record is from RNAcentral.
AGUGAACGCUGGCGGCGUGCUUAACACAUGCAAGUCGAACGAGAACGGAUUAUAGCUUGCUAUAAUUGUCAGCUAAGUGGCGCACGGGUGAGUAAUGUAUAGGUAAUAUGCCUCUUACUAAGGGAUAACAAUUGGAAACGAUUGCUAAUACCUUAUAUUCCUUUUAAUCAAAAGAUAAAAAGGGAAAGAUUUAUUGGUAAGAGAUUAGCCUGUAUUGUAUCAGUUAGUUGGUGGGGUAAUGGCCUACCAAGACAAUGACGCAUAACUGGUUUGAGAGGAUGAUCAGUCACACUGGAACUGAGACACGGUCCCGACUCCUACGGGAGGCAGCAGUGGGGAAUAUUGCACAAUGGACGAAAGUCUGAUGCAGCAACGCCGCGUGGAGGAUGGCACAUUUCGGUGCGUAAACUCCUUUUAUAUAAGAAGAUAAUGACGGUAUUAUAUGAAUAAGCACCGGCUAACUCCGUGCCAGCAGCCGCAGUAA